This 453-nucleotide ribosomal RNA is filed under the name uncultured Pseudomonadota bacterium. RNAcentral's name for it is "bacterial SSU rRNA". It matches the Rfam family "Bacterial small subunit ribosomal RNA", at positions 355 to 824 of the family's 1533-position model. The record is from RNAcentral. Lineage: Bacteria; Pseudomonadati; Pseudomonadota.
UGGGGAAUAUUGGACAAUGGGCGAAAGCCUGAUCCAGCAAUGCCGCGUGAGUGAUGAAGGCCUUAGGGUUGUAAAGCUCUUUUACCCGGGAUGAUAAUGACAGUACCGGGAGAAUAAGCUCCGGCUAACUCCGUGCCAGCAGCCGCGGUAAUACGGAGGGAGCUAGCGUUAUUCGGAAUUACUGGGCGUAAAGCGCACGUAGGCGGCUUUGUAAGUUAGAGGUGAAAGCCUGGAGCUCAUCUCCAGAAUUGCCUUUAAGACUGCAUCGCUUGAAUCCAGGAGAGGUGAGUGGAAUUCCGAGUGUAGAGGUGAAAUUCGUAGAUAUUCGGAAGAACACCAGUGGCGAAGGCGGCUCACUGGACUGGUAUUGACGCUGAGGUGCGAAAGCGUGGGGAGCAAACGAGGAUUAGAUACCCUGGUAGUCCACGCCGUAAACGAUGAUAACUAGCUGUC